This 179-nucleotide non-coding RNA is filed under the name Kofleriaceae bacterium. Its description in RNAcentral is "6S RNA". It matches the Rfam family "6S / SsrS RNA". From Rfam's summary of the family: E. coli 6S RNA was the first non coding RNA to be sequenced, but its function was unknown until recently. It consists of 184 nucleotides that fold into an extended hairpin structure with a large single-stranded internal bulge. The record is from RNAcentral. Lineage: Bacteria; Pseudomonadati; Myxococcota; Haliangiales; Kofleriaceae.
CACUCACUGCUAUACUCGAUCCGAGGAAAGAGUCUUUUCCCUAUAUUUCUAUCCAGGGAUCUGCCGCUGGCUAUAGGUGUGCACGCCCGCUCGUCGGGAAGCCCGAGGUAGCUAUUGUGGAACCCACCUGCGCGACGCGUAGGGGAUAGACCAACUCCUCACCGGUUGCGCGGUGGCCU